This 521-nucleotide ribosomal RNA is filed under the name uncultured bacterium. RNAcentral's name for it is "bacterial SSU rRNA". It matches the Rfam family "Bacterial small subunit ribosomal RNA", at positions 9 to 526 of the family's 1533-position model. The record is from RNAcentral.
GAGUUUGAUCCUGGCUCAGGAUGAACGCUGGCGGCGUGCUUAACACAUGCAAGUCGAACGAAGCACUUUAUUUGAUUUCCUUCGGGACUGAUUAUUUUGUGACUGAGUGGCGGACGGGUGAGUAACGCGUGGGUAACCUGCCUUGUACAGGGGGAUAACAGUUGGAAACGACUGCUAAUACCGCAUAAGCCCACGACCCGGCAUCGGGUAGAGGGAAAAGGAGCAAUCCGCUUUGAGAUGGCCUCGCGUCCGAUUAGCUAGUUGGUGAGGUAAUGGCUCACCAAGGCGACGAUCAGUAGCCGACCUGAGAGGGUGAUCGGCCACAUUGGGACUGAGACACGGCCCAAACUCCUACGGGAGGCAGCAGUGGGGAAUAUUGCACAAUGGGCGAAAGCCUGAUGCAGCAACGCCGCGUGAGCGAUGAAGGCCUUCGGGUCGUAAAGCUCUGUCCUCAAGGAAGAUAAUGACGGUACUUGAGGAGGAAGCCCCGGCUAACUACGUGCCAGCCGCCGCGGUAAUAC